Molecule: ribosomal RNA, 624 nt
Filed under: uncultured bacterium
Lineage: Bacteria
Description: bacterial SSU rRNA
Rfam family: Bacterial small subunit ribosomal RNA
Source: RNAcentral
UUUCGGGUAGCAAUAUCUGAAUGAGAGUGGCGCACCCUUUCGUAACGCGUAUGCAAUCUACCUUUAACUGGGGAAUAGCCCUCCGAAAGGAGGAUUAACACCGCAUAAUACUACGAUGGGGCAUCUCAAUGUAGUCAAAACUCAGGUGGUUAAAGAUGAGCAUGCGUCCGAUUAGCUAGUUGGUGAGGUAAUGGCUCACCAAGGCGACGAUCGGUAGGGGGUCUGAGAGGAUGAUCCCCCACACUGGUACUGAGACACGGACCAGACUCCUACGGGAGGCAGCAGUAAGGAAUAUUGGACAAUGGGCGCAAGCCUGAUCCAGCUAUGCCGCGUGAAGGAUGACGGCCCUAUGGGUUGUAAACUUCUUUUAGCAGGGAAAAGACCCCCCGAUGCGUUGGGGGCUGAUGGUACCUGCAGAAUAAGGAUCGGCUAACUCCGUGCCAGCAGCCGCAGUAAUACGGAGGAUCCAAGCGUUAUCCGGAUUUAUUGGGUUUAAAGGGUGCGCAGGCGGAUAAAUAAGUCAGUGGUGAAAGCCUGCAGCUUAACUGUAGAAUUGCCAUUGAUACCGUUUAUCUCGAAUGUAGUUGAGGUGGGCGGAAUAUGACAUGUAGUGGUGAAAUACUU